Molecule: ribosomal RNA, 512 nt
Filed under: Aenictophila sp. JP-2017
Lineage: Eukaryota; Metazoa; Arthropoda; Insecta; Coleoptera; Staphylinidae
Description: partial 16S ribosomal RNA
Rfam family: Bacterial large subunit ribosomal RNA (bases 386-512)
Source: RNAcentral
GUCUUUUUGAAUUUAAUUUAAAGUCUGACCUGCCCAAUGAUAAUUUUAAUGGCCGCAGUAUUUUGACUGUGCAAAGGUAGCAUAAUCAUUAGUUUUUUAAUUGAAAACUGGUAUGAAAGGUUGGACGAGAAAAUAACUGUCUCUUUAUUAAUGUUUUAGAAUUUUAUUUUUAAGUUAAAAAGCUUAAAUAAUUUUAAAAGACGAGAAGACCCUAUAGAGUUUUAUUAAUUUAAUAAUUAAUUUUUAUAUAGAAUAGUUUUAUUUUUAUUAUUGAAUUAAUUUGAUUGGGGUGAUUGAAAAAUUUAAAUAACUUUUUUUAUAUAUAAACAUUUAUUUAUGAUAAAUUGAUCCAUAAUUUAUGAUUAUAAGAUUAAAUUACCUUAGGGAUAACAGCAUAAUUUCUUUUUAGAGUUCUAAUCGAUAAAGAAGUUUGUGACCUCGAUGUUGGAUUAAAAUAAAUUUUUGGUGUAGUAGCUAAAAUAUUAGGUCUGUUCGACCUUUAAAAUUUUACA